AUUGAACGCUGGCGGCAGGCCUAACACAUGCUAGUCGAACGAGUGGCGGACGGGUGAGUACUGUCUGGGAAACUGCCCGAUGGAGGGGGAUAACUUCUGGAAAUGGUAGCUAAUACCGCAUACCAUCAGAUGUGCCAAGAUGGGAUUAGCUUGUUGGUGGGGUAACGGCUCACCAAGGCGACGAUCCCUAGCUGGUCUGCGAGGAUGACCAGCCACACUGGAACUGAGACACGGUCCAUACUCCUACGGGAGGCAGCAGUGGGGAAUGUUGCACAAUGGGCGCAAGCCAGAUGCAGCCAUGCGGCGUGUAUGAAGAAGGCCUUCGGGUUGUAAAGUACUAUCAGCGGGAAGGCGUUACCCGCAGAAGAAGCACCGGCUAACUCCGUGCCAGCAGCCGCGGUAAUUC
RNAcentral lists this ribosomal RNA (406 nucleotides) under uncultured bacterium. Its description in RNAcentral is "partial 16S ribosomal RNA". It matches the Rfam family "Bacterial small subunit ribosomal RNA", at positions 30 to 526 of the family's 1533-position model. The record is from RNAcentral.